AAGGGUGCAUAAUAUAUAUCCUAAAAGCCACAAAAAUUCUAAAAAAAAUUUGGAUAGAUUCGAUGCAAAAUUGAAAGAGUUUUGGAUUUCUAAAACUCUAUCUCAUAGAAUUCGAAAUCCAAACUUAUUCCUUUUUGAUUUGAUCCAAACCACCUUCCAUGUAAGAAAGAAGAGAGGAGACCUUUUGUGAAUGUGAGAG
This 199-nucleotide long non-coding RNA is filed under the name Elaeis guineensis (African oil palm). Its description in RNAcentral is "long non-coding RNA (EGUI_LNC065029)". The record is from RNAcentral. Lineage: Eukaryota; Viridiplantae; Streptophyta; Magnoliopsida; Arecales; Arecaceae.